This 516-nucleotide ribosomal RNA is filed under the name uncultured bacterium. Its description in RNAcentral is "partial 16S ribosomal RNA". It matches the Rfam family "Bacterial small subunit ribosomal RNA", at positions 28 to 523 of the family's 1533-position model. The record is from RNAcentral.
GACGAACGCUGGCGGCGUGCCUAAUACAUGCAAGUCGAGCGGACGUUUUUGAAGCUUGCUUUAAAAACGUUAGCGGCGGACGGGUGAGUAACACGUGGGCAACCUACCUUAUCGACUGGGAUAACUCCGGGAAACCGGGGCUAAUACCGGAUAACAUCUAGCAUCUCCUGGUGCCGGAUUGAAAGAGGGCUUCUUGCUCUCACGAUAAGAUGGGCCCGCGGCGCAUUAGCUAGUUGGAGAGGUAAUGGCUCCCCAAGGCGACGAUGCGUAGCCGACCUGAGAGGGUGAUCGGCCACCAUGGGACUGAGACACGGCCCAGACUCCUACGGGAGGCAGCAGUAGGGAAUCUUCCGCAAUGGACGAAAGUCUGACGGAGCAACGCCGCGUGAGUGAUGAAGGGUUUCGGCUCGUAAAGCUCUGUUAUGAGGGAAGAACACGUACCGUUCGAAUAGGGCGGUGCCUUGACGGUACCUCAUCAGAAAGCCACGGCUAACUACGUGCCAGCCGCCGCCGUAA